RNAcentral lists this ribosomal RNA (729 nucleotides) under Apharyngostrigea pipientis. RNAcentral describes it as "12S ribosomal RNA". The record is from RNAcentral. Lineage: Eukaryota; Metazoa; Platyhelminthes; Trematoda; Diplostomida; Strigeidae.
UUUUUGUUUAAUUCUGGCUAUUGGAGAGUAAUUAAUUGUUUCCACAUAAAUGGUUUUUAGAUUUUUCUUAGAUGUUAUUUAUUUGAGGGUUUAGUGGUAAGAGCUUGGUCAAUAUGGGGACAUAGAUUAGGGCAAUUAUUCGGUUUACAGAUGGAUAAUUCACAGUGCCAGCAUCCGCGGUUAUUCUGUUGUCUGACUCUUCUUUGUUGGUUAAAAUAGAUUUAUUUUUAUGAGCUAAUAGCUGCAAUAGGUGUUUUUAGUUUCUAAAAUAUGGUUUAAGGUGUAGUUUAGAUGAUUUGUUUAGGAUAGGGAUUAGAGACCCCUUUACUAAAUUUGGAGUUUUUUCCAUGGUUUCAACUAAAAGGAUUUGGCAGCCGAUGAAUUUCGUCCGGGGGAGUGUGCUUCUUAAACAGAUGGUACACUAAUAAAUUUUCCAUUUUUAUUUUAGUUAGUGUAUAUCCGAUUUAAUAUUUGUGAUUAGUUUUAUAAUGAAUGUAUAUCUUAAAUUUAAGUCAGGUCGAUGUGCUGCUAAUAAUUUGGGUGAUUGUGCAUUACAUUUUAAAUUUGUGGUAUGUAAUAGCUUAUAUAAUUUAGGACUCGGUAGUAGGAUUUUUUAAGUUUGACUGUUCGAAUAUGAUUUAGUUGGGGUACACAUCGCCCGUCAGUUUCAACGGUAGUUGGGAUAAGUCGUAACAUGGUAACGGUUGGGGAACCAGUCGUUAGUUGGCC